AGAGAAGUCAGGUGGUGGUAGUACACACCCUUAAUCCGGUUUUAAGGGGAAAAUGAUGAAUUCUCUUUGAAAAAAAGUAAUUUAAAAUCUCCGAGGCUGUCCACCUAUAUUUUAGGUAAGUAGAGAUCUAUGAGAAAUAUCAGGAAAAAAGUGCUUGGAUGAAUAUGUAGAAUUAAGAAACCAUGGGCAGACAUUAAUUGAGAGGACAGGAAUGGAGGUUAUUACCCUAAGCAAGUCAACAAAGAGAAGAACGUGGAAGAAGAAAGGGGC
Peromyscus leucopus (white-footed mouse) is the source of this 270-nucleotide long non-coding RNA. RefSeq lists it as uncharacterized. NCBI's taxonomy places the organism in Eukaryota, Metazoa, Chordata, Mammalia, Rodentia, Cricetidae. The record is from RefSeq and is a predicted model, not a curated record. The transcript has 2 exons.